CCUACGGGUGGCAGCAGUGAGGAAUAUUGGUCAAUGGGCGCGAGCCUGAACCAGCCAAGCCGCGUGAGGGAAGACGGCCCUAUGGAUUGUAAACUUCUUUUGUCGGGGAGCAAAAGACGCCACGCGUGGCGUUCCGAGAGUACCCGAAGAAAAAGCAUCGGCUACCUCCGUGCCAGCAGCCGCGGUAAUACGGAGGAUGCGAGCUUUAUCGGGAUUUGUGGGGUUUAAAGGGUGCGCAGGCGGAAGAUCAAGUCAGCGGUAAAAUUGAGAGGCUCAACCUCUUCGAGCCGUUGAAACUGGUUUGCUUGAGUGAGUGAGAAGUAUGCGGAAUGCGUGGUGUAGCGGUGAAAUGCAUAGAUAUCACGCAGAACACCGAUUGCGAAGGCAGCUUACCGGCGCUCAACUGACGCUGAUGCACGAAAGUGUGGGUAUCGAACAGGAUUAGAUACCCUUGUAGUC
This 459-nucleotide ribosomal RNA is filed under the name uncultured bacterium. RNAcentral describes it as "partial 16S ribosomal RNA". It matches the Rfam family "Bacterial small subunit ribosomal RNA", at positions 338 to 795 of the family's 1533-position model. The record is from RNAcentral.